This 467-nucleotide ribosomal RNA is filed under the name uncultured bacterium. RNAcentral's name for it is "partial 16S ribosomal RNA". It matches the Rfam family "Bacterial small subunit ribosomal RNA", at positions 28 to 507 of the family's 1533-position model. The record is from RNAcentral.
GACGAACGCUGGCGGCGUGCUUAACACAUGCAAGUCGAACGGAAAGGCCCUGCUUUUGUGGGGUGCUCGAGUGGCGAACGGGUGAGUAACACGUGAGUAACCUGCCCUUGACUUUGGGAUAACUUCAGGAAACUGGGGCUAAUACCGGAUAGGAGCUCCUGCUGCAUGGUGGGGGUUGGAAAGUUUCGGCGGUUGGGGAUGGACUCGCGGCUUAUCAGCUUGUUGGUGGGGUAGUGGCUUACCAAGGCUUUGACGGGUAGCCGGCCUGAGAGGGUGACCGGCAAAAUGGGAAUGGGGAGACGGCCCAAACCCUUAGGGGAGGAAGAAGGGGGAAAAAUGGAACAAGGGCGGAAGCCUGAUGCAGCAACGCCGCGUGCGGGAUGACGGCCUUCGGGUUGUAAACCGCUUUCGCCUGUGACGAAGCGUGAGUGACGGUAAUGGGUAAAGAAGCACCGGCUAACUACGUG